AAUAGAUACCCGGGUAGUCCAUGCCGUAAACGUUGGGAACUAGAUGUGGGGACCAUUCCACGGUCUCCGUGUCGCAGCUAACGCAUUAAGUUCCCCGCCUGGGGAGUACGGCCGCAAGGCUAAAACUCAAAGGAAUUGACGGGGGCCCGCACAAGCGGCGGAGCAUGCGGAUUAAUUCGAUGCAACGCGAAGAACCUUACCAAGGCUUGACAUAUACGAGAACGCUGCAGAAAUGUAGAACUCUUUGGACACUCGUAUACAGGUGGUGCAUGGUUGUCGUCAGCUCGUGUCGUGAGAUGUUGGGUUAAGUCCCGCAACGAGCGCAACCCUCGUCGUAUGUUGCCAGCACGUAAUGGUGGGAACUCAUAUGAGACUGCCGGGGUCAACUCGGAGGAAGGUGGGGAUGAGGUCAAAUCAUCAUGCCCCUUAUGUCUUGGGCUUCACGCAUGCUACAAUGGCCGGUACAAAGGGCUGCAAUACCGCAAGGUGGAGCGAAUCCCAAAAAGCCGGUCUCAGUUCGGA
Molecule: ribosomal RNA, 522 nt
Filed under: uncultured bacterium
Lineage: Bacteria
Description: bacterial SSU rRNA
Rfam family: Bacterial small subunit ribosomal RNA
Source: RNAcentral